This 381-nucleotide ribosomal RNA is filed under the name uncultured Pseudomonas sp. RNAcentral's name for it is "bacterial SSU rRNA". It matches the Rfam family "Bacterial small subunit ribosomal RNA", at positions 1004 to 1382 of the family's 1533-position model. Lineage: Bacteria; Pseudomonadati; Pseudomonadota; Gammaproteobacteria; Pseudomonadales; Pseudomonadaceae. The record is from RNAcentral.
AGAUGGAUUGGUGGCCUUCCGGAACGUCUGACACAGGUGCUGCAUGGCUGUCGUCAGCUGGUGUCGUGAGAUGUUGGGUUAAGUCCCGUAACGAGCGCAACCCUUGUCCUUAGUUACCAGCACGUUAUGGUGGGCACUCUAAGGAGACUGCCGGUGACAAACCGGAGGAAGGUGGGGAUGACGUCAAGUCAUCAUGGCCCUUACGGCCUGGGCUACACACGUGCUACAAUGGUCGGUACAAAGGGUUGCCAAGCCGCGAGGUGGAGCUAAUCCCAUAAAACCGAUCGUAGUCCGGAUCGCAGUCUGCAACUCGACUGCGUGAAGUCGGAAUCGCUAGUAAUCGUGAAUCAGAAUGUCACGGUGAAUACGUUCCCGGGCCUU